This 284-nucleotide ribosomal RNA is filed under the name uncultured bacterium. RNAcentral describes it as "partial 16S ribosomal RNA". It matches the Rfam family "Bacterial small subunit ribosomal RNA", at positions 202 to 504 of the family's 1533-position model. The record is from RNAcentral.
AAGAGCAAUCUGCUAAUAGAUGGGCUUGCGUCUGAUUAGCUAGUUGGUGUGGUAAAGGCAUACCAAGGCAACGAUCAGUAGCCGGACUGAGAGGUUGAACGGCCACAUUGGGACUGAGAUACGGCCCAGACUCCUACGGGAGGCAGCAGUCGGGAAUAUUGGGCAAUGGGCGCAAGCCUGACCCAGCAACGCCGCGUGAAGGAAGAAGGCUUUCGGGUUGUAAACUUCUUUUAACAGGGACGAAAUAAAUGACGGUACCUGUUGAAUAAGCCACGGCUAACUAC